Molecule: ribosomal RNA, 530 nt
Filed under: uncultured bacterium
Lineage: Bacteria
Description: partial 16S ribosomal RNA
Rfam family: Bacterial small subunit ribosomal RNA
Source: RNAcentral
UGGGGAAUCUUCCGCAAUGGACGAAAGUCUGACGGAGCAACGCCGCGUGAGUGAAGAAGGUUUUCGGAUCGUAAAAACUCUGUCUUUUGGGGCGAACGUGAGUAUGGUGAACAAUCAUAGUCAGUGACGGUACCAAAGGAGGAAGCCACGGCUAACUACGUGCCAGCAGCCGCGGUAAUACGUAGGUGGCAAGCGUUGUCCGGAAUUAUUGGGCGUAAAGAGCGCGUAGGCGGGAUAGUCAGUCUGUUGUAAAGUGCGGGGCUCAACCCCGUGAUCGCAAUGGAAACAGCUAUUCUUGAGUGCAGGAGAGGAAAGUGGAAUUCCCAGUGUAGCGGUGAAAUGCGUAGAUAUUGGGAGGAACACCAGUGGCGAAGGCGACUUUCUGGACUGUGUCUGACGCUGAGGCGCGAAAGCCAGGGGGAGCGAACGGGAUUAGAUACCCCGGUAGUCCUGGCCGUAAACGAUGGGUACUAGGUGUGGGAGGUAUCGACCCCCUUUCCGUGCCGGAGUUAACGCAAUAAGUACCCCCG